Molecule: long non-coding RNA, 761 nt
Organism: Anoplophora glabripennis (Asian longhorned beetle)
Lineage: Eukaryota; Metazoa; Arthropoda; Insecta; Coleoptera; Cerambycidae
Exons: 7
Source: RefSeq, a predicted model, not a curated record
AUUUAAGUGUGGCCAUUUUUUCUUUCAUUUAAGUUGCACAUUUCAGUGAAAAAUUAUUAUGAUUUAUUAUGGAUGUGGAGAUGAUACACAAAGUCUGAGACCAACCACUGCACCGAGCGGGAUCUCAGUCCCUCCAAGAACCACACCCUAUGCCGCAUCAGUUCCCGUUCAACAGCAGGUGUCCAGAUCCAGAUCGCAAACCGCCUCGGUACCAGAAAGAACUUAUAUCCCGGCACGACAGAAAGUUACGGCUCAAAACAACAGCGCUUUGGUUAGAGAACUGAACAGCAAAAGAUCGACAACUCACAGUUUUGAAAAAGUAAUGGAUGUAGAAAACUGAUUUUUACCGAAGUGAAACUGAGAAACCGCAUUACGGUAAUACAUACAUUCUAAAGGUCCCAAUUUCUGGAUACGGAAUUACAUUUUACGCAGUUGUUAGUGGAGAAAUGUACGGGUUAUAACAACAUUUUGGUUCUUUGGAUUGCAUAUACAUUUUGCAGCCUCUAAAUUUACAUGGCACAAAUGAGUGGCGAGAUCAAAUGGCACGUGAAUUUUUUUAGGCAGUAAGGACAAGGGAGUGGAAGAGAUAUGCAUGGAUCCAACGCUGCUCAUUUUUAAAUAACCCAUUCUUCACUACCUAACUCACUAUAGAAGAUUGUCGACAUUUUUUCGAGGAGGGUGAUACUAUUUAUUCUGAAAAAUAGAACAAAACCCAGCCGGUGAAAUUGUUGGAGUUCUUCCUGAUACAUUUUUUUAACUGA